This 437-nucleotide ribosomal RNA is filed under the name uncultured bacterium. Its description in RNAcentral is "partial 16S ribosomal RNA". It matches the Rfam family "Bacterial small subunit ribosomal RNA", at positions 28 to 507 of the family's 1533-position model. The record is from RNAcentral.
GAUGAACGCGGGCGGAAGGAGGAAGAGAGGAAAGUCGGAAAGGAAGUGGUGUUUCCAGGUGGGUACGGUUGAGUAGCGCGUAAGAACCUGCCCUUGGGAGGGGAACAACAACUGGAAACGGUUGCUAACAACCCGUAGGCUGAGGAGCCACAGGAGGAAUCCGCCCGAGGAGGGGCUUGCGUCUGCGUAGUUAGUUGGUGAGGUAAUAGCUUACCAAGGCGAUGAGCCGUAGGUGGUCCGAGAGGAUCAUCAGCCAAACUGCGCAGGAGACACGGACCAGAGUCCUACGGGAGGCAGCAGUGGGGAAUUUUCCGCAAUGGGCGAAAGCCUGACGGAGCAAUGCCGCGUGGAUCUCCCUUCACCACGGGUCGUGAACUUCUUUACUCGGACAAGAAACAAUGACGGUAUCUGCGGACUAAGCAUCGGCUCCCUCUGUC